GACGAACGCUGGCGGCGUGCCUAAUACAUGCAAGUAGAACGCACAGUUUAUACCGUAGCUUGCUACACCAUAGACUGUGAGUUGCGAACGGGUGAGUAACGCGUAGGUAACCUGCCUGGUAGCGGGGGAUAACUAUUGGAAACGAUAGCUAAUACCGCAUAAUAUUGAUUAUUGCAUGAUAAUUAAUUGAAAGGUGCAAUUGCACCACUACCAGCUGGACCUGCGUUGUAUUAGCUAGUAGGUGAGGUAACGGCUCACCUAGGCGACGAUACAUAGCCGACCUGAGAGGGUGAUCGGCCACACUGGGACUGAGACACGGCCCAGACUCCUACGGGAGGCAGCAGUAGGGAAUCUUCGGCAAUGGACGAAAGUCUGACCGAGCAACGCCGCGUGAGUGAAGAAGGUUUUCGGAUCGUAAAGCUCUGUUGUAAGAGAAGAACGGGUGUGAGAGUGGAAAGUUCACACUGUGACGGUAUCUUACCAGAAAGGGACGGCUAACUACGUG
Molecule: ribosomal RNA, 505 nt
Filed under: uncultured bacterium
Lineage: Bacteria
Description: partial 16S ribosomal RNA
Rfam family: Bacterial small subunit ribosomal RNA
Source: RNAcentral